UUACAGAAAGGACUACGUUUGAGGGUUGGUUUUGGUGAGAAGAUUUCGAUAAGGGAAGACCUUUGGCUACCAGGGUCUGUCAGUUUGAGUUUAUUAAACAACAUCAGUAAUUUUGAGGUCAACUUUGUUUCGGAUUUAACUGACCCACAAUCAAGGGAAUAGAGAAAGGAUAUAACUUUUAUUACCUUUCCAAAGGAUGUCGCGAAGAGAAUACUGAUGAUCCCAUUGGCUAAGGAUGCUUUUGAUGAUAUGCAGGUUUAGAGGGGUGAGCCAUCAGCUGAAUUCUCUAUAAGGAGUGCCUACAAACUAUUACAAUAGGGUAUACUACCCGCUAAUGAAAAUUAUACACAACAGGGCCUUAAAGAAUUCUAUAAAAAACUAUGGAAUCUACAGCUCCCUUCAAAAAUUAAAAUUAUAGUUUGGAGAGCUUUGUGGAAUUUCCUUCCUAUGUUUACUCAAUCUAAACUACAAAAGGGUAGCUGCAAAUUACUUGUGUCCCAAAUGUCUUGGAGCCAUGGAGUCAAUCGAACAUAUCUUGCGGGUAAGCCCUACAUCAACAGAGAUAUGAGUGAAUUUAAAUCUAUCUUGGAUUUUACAAGACUUAGUUCAGCGUUUCUAGGAUUGGAUUACCUGCAUUUUCAUAAGUAGUGCUAACAAGCAGUACAAGGUGUUCUAUUGUGGUCUUUGGGGUAUUUGGUUUAACAGGAAUCAAUCAGUGUAUGAAGGGAAAAAGCUUUCUAGUAAAGAUAUUGCAGACUGGACUACAAGCUGUUUGUAUGAACUUGAUACGAUAGAGGAGAAAUCACAUUCCAGAUCUAAUGUUUUUGCGAUGUGGAGUCCCCCAUUCGACGCAGAGGUGAAGGUUAACUUCGAUGCAGCUUUCAAUCUGAUUCAAAUCAGAUCUGGAAAAGGUGUCGUGACCAGAAACGUUUCGGGCGAGAUUCUGGCCUUGAAGAUGGUUUUACAUUAAGGGGUUCCUACCUUGUUUGCAGUGGAGGCCCGUGCCUGCAGGCAGUAAUGUUGGGGUUGCAACUGGGGGUCGAUUCAGUGGUGACUGAAGGGGAUUCAAAGACAAUAAUAAACAAAUGCAAGUUAGACUCUCUUGAUAAAUAAACUAUCGAAGCCAUAAUCAGAGAUGUCCAACAAUAUAAAGGCCAUUUUUGGAAGAUCUUUUAAACGUACUUCUAAAUCAGCGAACAACAGUGCUCAUACCAUAGCUACUGAAGAUUUAAAGAAGGGGAAGGAAUUUUACCUUGAGGAAGGGUUGCCUGAGUUCGUCGUCAUCCGACGAGCGUUGGAGAGGAAACGGCAGAGGGAACCAGAUUAAAGGAGUUUUUGCCUGGAAGGGGGGCUAGAAAAGGAACGGACAACAGACAGAAAGUAAAGAUACUGGUAACUACUGUUUUUGGAAGCUAGAAUCGCCUAAUAAGGUUUUGGAUGAGGAUUAAAUGGUGUGGAUGUUAGCUGGUGUUAGACUGGAUUAGGAUUUUAGUUUUUGGGCCUUAUUUUGGUUUGUCGGUUGGGGCUCUUUUUUAGUCUGUUUUUUGUUUCGGUUUCUAUUUUGUUUAUGUACAUUUUGUUUUUGAUUAUUUAUCCAGUCUGAUAUUUGUCAAAAAAUAAAAAAAUUAUAGAAGAUAAAAAAAAAAACACAUCAAAACUUAAUAUUAGC
RNAcentral lists this long non-coding RNA (1669 nucleotides) under Gossypium barbadense (sea-island cotton). RNAcentral describes it as "long non-coding RNA (GBAR_LNC006960)". The record is from RNAcentral. Lineage: Eukaryota; Viridiplantae; Streptophyta; Magnoliopsida; Malvales; Malvaceae.